AACGAACGCUGGCGGCAGGCCUCAAACAUGCAAGUCUAGGGGGUGUAGCAAUACAUCACCGGCGGACGGGUGCGUAACGCGUGGGAAUAUACCUAUCGAUUCGGAACAACUGAGGGAAACUUCAGCUAAUACCGAAUACGUCCUAACGGAGAAAGAUUUAUCGUCGAUAGAUUAGCCCGCGUUCGAUUAGCUAGUUGGUGGGGUAACGGCCCACCAAGGCGACGAUCGAUAGCUGUUCUGAGAGGAAGAUCAGCCACACUGGGACUGAGACACGGCCCAGACUCCUACGGGAGGCAGCAGUUGGGAAUCUUGGACAAUGGGGGAAACCCUGAUCCAGCCAUGCCGCGUGAGUGAUGAAGGCCUUCGGGUUGUAAACUCUUUCGCGCACGACGAUAAUGACGGUAGUGCGAGAAGAAGCUCCGGCUAACUCCGUGCCAGCAGCCGCGGUAAU
RNAcentral lists this ribosomal RNA (451 nucleotides) under uncultured bacterium. RNAcentral describes it as "bacterial SSU rRNA". It matches the Rfam family "Bacterial small subunit ribosomal RNA", at positions 29 to 524 of the family's 1533-position model. The record is from RNAcentral.